Long non-coding RNA from Olea europaea var. sylvestris, 1058 nucleotides. RefSeq lists it as uncharacterized. The record is from RefSeq and is a predicted model, not a curated record. The transcript has 2 exons. Lineage: Eukaryota; Viridiplantae; Streptophyta; Magnoliopsida; Lamiales; Oleaceae.
CAUAAAUACAGUAUUCAAAAAUGCAUUAUAAAAAAAAUAAUGUGGCUCAAAUUAGGGCUUAAAAGUAAAAACAUUUGGAAAAGAAUUACGCCUAAGUUAAGCUUAGCCAAACACGGUGCAAGAAAAUUUGAGGCUCAGAUCUGUGCAGGUGAAGAGAGAGAGAGAAUCCGACCACGCCAUGGCUGCGAAUUCCGGUUGCAACAAACAAGCCCUAAUUUGAUGCCAUCCGGGUCGCCAUGCCAAGAUACGUGUCGAUUUAUCUCAAUUCCCAAUCGGAUUUAGCUCAGCAAGAGGAAAGUAAUCAUCACAGCCUCAUAUUCAGCAGAUCACAGCAUCGGAAAAGUGAGAGCAAAACUGUGGUGUGAAUAUAAAGAUCAAUGGCAAGUUAUCUGUGUAUAUAUAUACAUACAACAUAUGUUUUUCUCCUUCGAAUUUAAGGGCUGUUGAUUUGAUUUAAUGGAGAAAUCACUGGUAAAAAGAGAGGGGCAACCACCCUUAGAGAAAUCCCAUCUCUCUUUAGCCUCAUUCUCGUCUUGAUGCCGAGCUUAUUGAUUCUUGCUUAUGGCCCGGAUCAGAUGUAUGUUUCUAUUUGGAGUGCAGAGCUAGAAUCUGAGACCAGACAGAGUGAUCAUAUACCAGAAUGUUGCUAAAAUGUUCGAUUUCUCUGAUGCAAUGAUGCUUCCUCUUGGAAAAUUCGAGGUCGAAGAUUCUAUGCAAGAGACAUUUUCUUAUUAUCUACUAUCGUCUAGUUGUUGACCUGAGAAUUUUGAAAGAAAAGGAGGAAUGGUGCCAAAAAACCAAUUUUAGACUGUCCUGGAUCUUGCUUUGACAUGCACCCUAGCCAAAUCAUAUCAGCUAAAGUCAAGAUCCAACAGCUCAAUAGUAGGUUCUACGAAUAUGAAGAAUAGAUAGUUUUUGAUGAUUCUUUCCUUUCUUUUUUGGUUUGAUUGCAAAGAAUGUCAAUCUUGAGGUUGCAACCUCAAGGCAAAGUUUUGUCACCAUCCGAAGACUACCUUGUUGACAGUGAAUUUAAAGUCGACUGUAUAAAUCUUUUUUCA